AGAGUUUGAUCCCGGCUCAGGAUAAACGCUGGCGGCGUGCUUUAUGCAUGCAAGUCGAACGGUCUUUCCCGCAAGGGAAGGAUAGUGGCAAACGGGUGAGUAACGCGUAAGUAACCUGCCCCUAAGCAGGGAAUAGCUCCGAGAAAUUGGAGGUAAUACCGUAUGUGGUAUUUCUUCGCAGGGGGAAAUACUAAAGCCUUCGGGCACUUGGGGAGGGGCUUGCGUCCGAUUAGCUAGUUGGUAAGGUAAUGGCCUACCAAGGCAACGAUCGGUAGCUGGUCUGAGAGGACGAUCAGCCACACUGGGACUGAGACACGGCCCAGACUCCUACGGGAGGCAGCAGCAAGGAAUAUUGUGCAAUGGGCGAAAGCCUGACACAGCGACGCCGCGUGGGGGAUGAAGACCUUCGGGUUGUAAACCCCUUUUCCUAGGGAAGAACAAUGACGGUACCUGGGGAAUAAGUCUUGGCUAACUACGUGCCAGCAGCCGCGGUAAUACGUAGAAGGCAAGCGUUAUCCGGAUUUAUUGGGCGUAGAGAGGGCGUAGGCGGUCCUUCAAGUCGGAUGUAAAAUCUCCUGGCUUAACCGGGAGGGAACAUUCGAUACUGCUGGGCUAGAGUGCCGCAGAGGGAGACGGAAUUCCCGGUGUAGUGGUGAAAUGCGUAGAUAUCGGGAGGAACACCAGUGGCGAAGGCGGCCUCCUGGCUUGCGCCUGACGCUGAGACGCGAAAGCGUGGGGAGCGAACGGGAUUAGAAACCCCGGUAGUCCACGCUGUAAACGAUGUCAACUAGGUGUCGGUGGCGUAGAACCCGUCGGUAUCGAAGCUAACGCGUUAAGUUGACCGCCUGGGGACUACGAUCGCAAGAUUAAAACUCAAAGGAAUUGACGGGGACCCGCACAAGCAGCGGAGCGUGUGGUUUAAUUCGAGGCUACGCGAAGAACCUUACCAGGGAUUGACAUGCACGUAGUAGGGAAGCGAAAGCAGACCGACCCUUCGGGGAGCGUGCACAGGUGAUGCAUGGCUGUCGUCAGCUCGUGCCGUGAGGUGUCAGGUUAAGUCCUGUAACGAGCGCAACCCCUGUCGUGUGUUAUACGUGUCACACGAGACUGCCGGUGUCAAACCGGAGGAAGGCGGGGAUGACGUCAAGUCAGCAUGUCCUUCAUAUCCUGGGCUACACACACGCUACAAUGGCCGGGACAACAGGCAGCCAAGCCGCGAGGCGGAGCUAAUCCUCUAAACCCGGUCUCAGUUCGGAUUGUAGGCUGCAACUCGCCUGCAUGAAGUCGGAGUUGCUAGUAACCGCGCGUCAGCAACAGUGCGGUGAAUACGUUCCCGGGUCUUGUACACACCGCCCGUCACGUCAUGGAAGCUGGCAACACCUGAAGCCGGUGGCCUAACCGCAAGGAGGGAGCCGUCCAAGGUGGGGUUGGUGACUGGGACGAAGUCGUAACAAGGUAGCUGUAGCGGAAGCUGCGGCUG
Molecule: ribosomal RNA, 1480 nt
Filed under: marine metagenome
Description: bacterial SSU rRNA
Rfam family: Bacterial small subunit ribosomal RNA
Source: RNAcentral